This 1674-nucleotide long non-coding RNA is filed under the name Felis catus (domestic cat). RNAcentral's name for it is "lncRNA (ENSFCAG00000040985.2)". The record is from RNAcentral. Lineage: Eukaryota; Metazoa; Chordata; Mammalia; Carnivora; Felidae.
CUCCAAGAGAAUGAACACAUUUAUAUGGCCACUAGCUAUGUAUUUGUAAUUAUCUCUCCAUACACUUACCAACGCUGUGAUAACUUGUUUUUUUACAGAGAUUAAGUUUUUCAUUGACAGGAUUUAGUUCAUCCUCUAUUAAUUACAUUUUUUUCCCUGUAGGAAUGACUUGAUUUGACAAACAUUUAGUCUCGUAAAACUUUAUUGUGUGUGAAGUAUAAUAUUAGAUGUUUGGAGAAGUCAGAAUUCAUUAGAUACAGUCUCUGCUUCUGACCAGAUGCUAACACAAUUGACGGAGGCAGACACAUCCUGGCCUCAGAUUACCUUUCCCACCUUAUCUAUUUGUAAUAACUUUUGUGAGCACUGUGGGACUGAAAAUGAGCAAGUUUCAUGAAUAUUUUAAGUGAGUACUAGAAGUUUCAUGAAUAUGUUAAGUAGGUGUGAGAAUUUCCAUGAAUAUAUUAAGUAGGAGAAUGAUUAGCAUGGAUAGUGCAGCCAUAGCUCACUAACCUCUAUCUCCCACAUGCUCAUUUGCUACCUUUGCAUUUUUUUCACUGUUAUCAGCUAGUACAAGGAGAUAUGGUUGAGGAUUUAUGACUUACCAUGUCUCUUUCAUGCCUCUUACAGGUUAGCUGACUCACUAUCCCAGGUGUCUAUAACUAGAUGAAACCACUUCUGCAUCACUGUGAAAAAGAGCUCCCCUCUGGAAAACAAUGAUGCUUUAAUGAGCAGCCGUAUGCCAAAAUCAGGACAACAAGGUUACUGACAAGCAAGUCUGCAUUUAAAAUACAUCAGCUACUGGGACGCUAGUCAUGGUGCCAAUUAAGUCAGCUGGAGAUGAAUACUGCUUUAAAUUCCAGAUCAGUACACAAAAAGAAUGUUAUUUUCUUAUGGGAGUUCUACAGAUCCAGCCAUGUAAAUAUCCAUUCAGGAUGGCUGCUUGUGGUAGCCCAGGGCCAAGGUGUAUCCUACAUUGUAGACUCACCAGGAACUCUGUGAUAAAGACAACCCAGGGAUGCAGCUCUGUGGUCUCAGGAAUCUACAAAGGCAAGAAACCUAAGGCUAUGUGCUAACAUAUGCAGAGGUCAUCCUAGAAGGCUUGAGAAGAUCAUGGAUUAGCCUCUAUUUCCCUGACUAAAUACCAUGCAUACUUUUUGCUUCCCCUUUCCAAUGUAUGCAAAACAUAAAGAAAAAAAAUUCUUUUUAGAAACAAUUUAACCAUGUCUGGACAGACUUAUUUUUUUUUUUUUUCUGAUUUCUUGUGGAAUUGUAUUUGAAAGCUAUUUUAAAAUUGCUUGAGGUCAUAGUCUUCUUGUCUUCUUGAUUGCAUUUCAUGUCAGGUAAGUUCUAGGACAACUGAUAUUGCAGAAGCUUAUACUUGGGAAAGAAUUCAGUAAGAUUCAAUAAGCUUAAUUCUACAAUUUGUUUAAAUAGCCCAUAUCCAAGCAUUUCCCCAGUAGCUUCUAAAAAUUUUACCAAAAUAUGUGUGUUCUUCUGCACCGGUGAACUUUUAUUCCUUGGUUCAGUAGUGCCCAAGAAAACUUCACGAAAUGUGGCUAAGCUGCCCUAGAAACUUCUGGACAGACCUACUAUCAUGUGAAUCCCUCUUUCUUUUUCUCUGAGGGUACCUUUUGGCCUGGAGGAAAUAAAACAUAAAAUUAAAUAGUUGAAACA